This 253-nucleotide ribosomal RNA is filed under the name uncultured bacterium. RNAcentral's name for it is "partial 16S ribosomal RNA". It matches the Rfam family "Bacterial small subunit ribosomal RNA", at positions 524 to 776 of the family's 1533-position model. The record is from RNAcentral.
UACGCAGGGCGCAAGCGUUAUCCGGAAUUAUUGGGCGUAAAGAGCUCGUAGGCGGUUUGUCGCGUCUGCCGUGAAAGUCCGGGGCUCAACUCCGGAUCUGCGGUGGGUACGGGCAGACUAGAGUGAUGUAGGGGAGACUGGAAUUCCUGGUGUAGCGGUGAAAUGCGCAGAUAUCAGGAGGAACACCGAUGGCGGAGGCAGGUCUCUGGGCAUUAACUGACGCUGAGGAGCGAAAGCAUGGGGAGCGAACAGG